AUAAGGACUGUUUCUAUGUUAGAUACUGUAGGUUAAAGAUAGUCUAUAACAAUAAGGACUGUUUCUAUGUUAGAUACUGUAGGUUAAAGACUGUCUAUAACAAUAAGGACUGUUUCUAUGUUAGAUACUGUAGGUUAAAGACUGUCUAUAACAAUAAGGACUGUUUCUAUGUUAGAUACUGUAGGUUAAAGAUAGUCUAUAACAAUAAGGACUGUUUCUAUGUUAGAUACUGUAGGUUAAAGAUAGUCUAUAACAAUAAGGACUGUUUCUAUGUUAGAUACUGUAGGUUAAAGAUAGUCUAUAACAAUAAGGACUGUUUCUAUGUUAGAUACUGUAGGUUAAAGAUAGUCUAUAACAAUAAGGACUGUUUCUAUGUUAGAUACUGUAGGUUAAAGACUGUCUAUAACAAUAAGGACUGUUUCUAUGCUAGAUACUGUAGGUUAAAGAUAGUCUAUAACAAUAAGGACUGUUUCUAUGCUAGAUACUGUAGGUUAAAGAUAGUCUAUAACAAUAAGGACUGUUUCUAUGUUAGAUACUGUAGGUUAAAGACUGUCUAUAACAAUAAGGACUGUUUCUAUGUUAGAUACUGUAGGUUAAAGACUGUCUAUAACAAUAAGGACUGUUUCUAUGCUAGAUACUGUAGGUUAAAGAUAGUCUAUAACAAUAAGGACUGUUUCUAUGCUAGAUACUGUAGGUUAAAGAUAGUCUAUAACAAUAAGGACUGUUUCUAUGUUAGAUACUGUAGGUUAAAGACUGUCUAUAACAAUAAGGACUGUUUCUAUGUUAGAUACUGUAGGUUAAAGAUAGUCUAUAACAAUAAGGACUGUUUCUAUGUUAGAUACUGUAGGUUAAAGACUGUCUAUAACAAUAAGGACUGUUUCUAUGCUAGAUACUGUAGGUUAAAGACUGUCUAUAACAAUAAGGACUGUUUCUAUUUCUGGUGCAUGUCCAAGAUCGAUAAUCAAUAUGUUGUUUAUACAGAUCAGUCUACACAAUAUUGAUACUAUAUAGUCCCAUAAGAACUGGAGAAAACUCAAAGACUGAUGUCAGUUGAUCGUUGUUGUGGUUCAAUGUUUAAAGAGCCACUUUGUUACUAAUAGCUGAAGAACCAGAGAACACAUAUGGAAUCAUGUUGUAACCAAAAAUACGUUAAACAAAUCAAAAUAUAUUUUAUAUUUUAUGAUUCUUAAAAGUAGCCACCCGUUGCCUUGAUGACAGCUUUGCACACUCUUGGCCUUCUGUCAACCAACUUCAUGAGGUAGUCACCUGGAUUUUAAAAAAAUUAAUAAGUGUGACUUGAUUAAAGUACAUUUGUGGAAUGUAUUUCCUUCUUAGGAAUGGUAUACAGAAUAUAGCCCUAUUUGGUAAAUGACCAAGUCCAUAUUAUGGAAAGAUCAGCUCAAAUAAG
Oncorhynchus keta (chum salmon) is the source of this 1408-nucleotide long non-coding RNA. RefSeq lists it as uncharacterized. The record is from RefSeq and is a predicted model, not a curated record. NCBI's taxonomy places the organism in Eukaryota, Metazoa, Chordata, Actinopteri, Salmoniformes, Salmonidae. The transcript has 3 exons.